CAGCCGCCGCGGUAAUACGUAGGGUGCAAGCGUUAAUCGGAAUUACUGGGCGUAAAGCGUGCGCAGGCGGUUAUAUAAGACAGAUGUGAAAUCCCCGGGCUCAACCUGGGAACUGCAUUUGUGACUGUAUAGCUAGAGUACGGCAGAGGGGGAUGGAAUUCCGCGUGUAGCAGUGAAAUGCGUAGAUAUGCGGAGGAACACCGAUGGCGAAGGCAAUCCCCUGGGCCUGUACUGACGCUCAUGCACGAAAGCGUGGGGAGCAAACAGGAUUAGAUACCCGUGUAGUCCCUGUCUCUUAUAA
Molecule: ribosomal RNA, 301 nt
Filed under: uncultured bacterium
Lineage: Bacteria
Description: partial 16S ribosomal RNA
Rfam family: Bacterial small subunit ribosomal RNA
Source: RNAcentral